RNAcentral lists this long non-coding RNA (2029 nucleotides) under Taeniopygia guttata (zebra finch). RNAcentral's name for it is "lncRNA (ENSTGUG00000023912.1)". Lineage: Eukaryota; Metazoa; Chordata; Aves; Passeriformes; Estrildidae. The record is from RNAcentral.
CAGAAAUACAAUUUAUUGGGAAAAGGGGAAAAGGACAAAAAAUACAUGCAAUAAUACAAAGGGAAAGACUACUGACAAAGUCAGAAUACAACCUGGCCAGCGUGCUGGUAGCAGUCCAAAUUGGAGUAGCUGCAGUCCUCAUGGGAUGGCAGAUGUAGUUGCUGUGUCUUCUCGGAGAACCUGUGAAAAGGCUGACCCUCUGUCUAGAAAACCCCAGUUUUAUCCAGGUUGGAAUGCCUAGCUCCUCCCCCCUGUGCAGAGCAUCUCACAAUGGGUCAUUAUGAGUCACGAGGUGUGUCCUUAAUCACCUGCUCCUGGACAGUGUUAUCUCUGAGUCAUGUAGCAAGGCAUUGAUGGGGCUAUUAACAGCAGAUAAGGAAAACUGCCUCAAGGCAACUCCUACUCAGAUGGUAAAUAGGAAACCGUUCUUUUUUUAAUCUUGGACAUUAAACAAAUACUGCAUAUAAACAAUAUAAACCUCAUAUAUAAAAUACAACAAAAUCAUAUAGUAACAUUACAAAUUAUUAAACAGAAAUAAGUUGAAAAACAUCAGAAAAGUACAAAUUAGUUAUAAUUACAAUAAAACAAAUUAAUAUACAAAGCGUAUAAAAUUGACAUAAACAAAUCCUGAAUUCAGGGUAAAACAUUUAGCAGGAUUCACAGCUUGAUCUGAUUCGAAACUUGGGCUGUCGCGGCACUGGAGAUGUAUAGCGGAGUUGAAGCAGCGAGCAGCGACAUGGCUUGUCUGAUUUUAUUCUUUAUUUCCGGAGUGGGCAUAAUACCGUGGGUAUAAACUAAAUAGCAUGAUCUUUCUUUCUAUAAAAUAUAACUCAACAAGUAGAUUAUUAAAUAAAAGGGAACAUUGGGUAGGGUGCAUUAAGGAAUGGGACAGGGGAAUCAGACAAUCACUUGAUUAGUGACUGUCAUGAUUGAUAAGGGGAAUCGGUAAGGGGUGGACCAGGGUGCCGCCAUCUCAGGGGGAAGACAAAAUGGCGGUUUCCAGUCUGGGGUUUUCGCCCCGCUCUCCCUCAAAGGAGACCCCCCCCCCCGAGAAGGGGAGUGAUCUUCUAAGAAGGGGGGUCCUCUGAUGGGAGGUCCUCAACAGCGAUCCGUCCCACCAGAGGAAGGGCCAGAAGAAGGAUUAGGGAAUAUCCAACCCCGCCUCCCCCCCACAGGGACUAGCCACACGGCAAUUUUGAUUGUCGGGGCCCUUGGGGAGAGGGUGGGGCUGGCAGGAAACCGGGGGGUGAAAGAGAAGGAUCAGCGCGGUUAAGUAGGAUCCAAGUGGCGUGGCCAGCGCCAUCUUGUAAGGGGGUGCCGGGUGCACUGCACCCCUACCCAGGGGCGGCGUGACCAACACCAUCCCCAAGGGAAGGCAGCAUUUAGGAAAAUCCGAGGGCAAGGGGAUCUGGGGAGCUUCACAGAAGCAAAAGGGGAAUUUACAGGAGAGGAGCCCGACACAGCUGGAUGUCGACACAAUGCGUGGGUGUACAGGGCUUCUCUUACCAACCCUCCUAUAGUUAACAUGCCGCCUUUCAAACAUUUGUCCCGUUUGUGUCUUUUCUACCCCCUCCGUCCAGCCCAGAUUGGGGAGGAAAGGAUAGAGAAGACGACUUUUCGAGGGGAAGAAAAAGCAAUCAAAUAUGGGUCCCCAUAAAAGACUAGGUGGGGAGUACCUGGGACCUCCCCCCCAGAAACGAAAAACCCACUCGCCCACCGGGCACAUGCAAGAAUACAGCUCCCGUCUGAGCACGAGCGAGGGUUAAAACGCAAAAAGAAAAAAUGGGAAACCCAGCCACCCGGCGGGAUGGACCCCACCCCGUCUAGCCCACCUUACCCUCUGGGGCCCGGGUGGAGAUGGCUUGAUUCUUCUCCUCGACUUGGUGGAAAAGUCGCGCCGAACUGGGGACGUUCCUUCUAGGUUUGGCUCUUCCAGAGGCUUAGGUGUUCCCGGGACUUGCAGGCAAGUCCAGCCGAUCUCGGCUGCACCCAAAACUUGUCCCUGAAGCGUUGGGCUCGACCACUAUCG